AUGAAAAUAACACAGAUUGCAUUCAACAUAAGGGUACUUAUUGAACAAGGUAUCCUUAAAAGCUCAAACUUAAAGAACUCCAAUCGAUAUGUAAAUGAUUGCAACAUUAAAAUGUUGAAUGCUAUACUGUUGGCUGGGGAGACGGAAGGACAAGAACAUCCAUCUUCACAUCUUAAUCCAUUCUCCAAAAAUGUUAAAGAUUUUGUAAGGACUGAUAUGCGAAGCUGA
Molecule: non-coding RNA, 228 nt
Organism: Vicia faba (fava bean)
Lineage: Eukaryota; Viridiplantae; Streptophyta; Magnoliopsida; Fabales; Fabaceae
Source: the annotation of a GenBank genome assembly